AGCGAACGCUGGCGGAAUGCUUAACACAUGCAAGUCGCACGGGGGCUUCGGCUCGAGUGGCGGACGGGUGAGUAACGCGUAGGAACGUGUCUUGGGGUGGGGGAUAACGCUGGGAAACUGGCGCUAAUACCGCAUAUGGGCUGAGGCCCAAAGCCUUCGGGUGCCUUGAGAGCGGCCUGCGUCCGAUUAGCUAGUUGGUGGGGUAAAGGCUUACCAAGGCUUCGAUCGGUAGCUGGUCUGAGAGGACGAUCAGCCACACUGGGACUGAGACACGGCCCAGACUCCUACGGGAGGCAGCAGUGGGGAAUAUUGGACAAUGGGCGGAAGCCUGAUCCAGCAAUUCCGCGUGGGUGAAGAAGGUCUUCGGAUUGUAAAGCCCUUUCGACAGGGACGAUGAUGACGGACCUG
Molecule: ribosomal RNA, 408 nt
Filed under: Acetobacteraceae bacterium Ellin7140
Lineage: Bacteria; Pseudomonadati; Pseudomonadota; Alphaproteobacteria; Acetobacterales; Acetobacteraceae
Description: bacterial SSU rRNA
Rfam family: Bacterial small subunit ribosomal RNA
Source: RNAcentral